RNAcentral lists this ribosomal RNA (434 nucleotides) under uncultured bacterium. Its description in RNAcentral is "bacterial SSU rRNA". It matches the Rfam family "Bacterial small subunit ribosomal RNA", at positions 29 to 507 of the family's 1533-position model. The record is from RNAcentral.
AACGUACGCUGGCGGCACGCCUAACACAUGCAAGUCGAACGAAGUAGCAACACUUAGUGGCAGACGGGUGAGUAACAUGUAGGUAUCUACCCUUUGGCCUGGAAUAACACGAGGAAACUUGUGCUAAUACCGGAUAAGUCUUUACGGAGAAAGCUUUAUGUACCAUUGGAUGAGCCUGCACUUGAUUAGUUUGUUGGUGGGGUAAUGGCCUACCAAGACUGUGAUCAAUAGCUGAUUUGAGAGGAUGAUCAGCCACAUUGGGACUGAGACACGGCCCAAACUCCUACGGGAGGCAGCAGUGGGGAAUCUUGCACAAUGGAGGAAACUCUGAUGCAGCGAUGCCGCGUGAGUGAAGAAGGCCUUUGGGUUGUAAAGCUCUUUCGUCGGGGAAGAAAAUGACUGUACCCGAAUAAGAAGGUCCGGCUAACUUCGUG